GAUGAACGCUGGCGGCGUGCCUAACACAUGCAAGUCGAACGAAGCGCCUUACCGGAUUCUUCGGUUGAAGGUCUGGUGACUGAGUGGCGGACGGGUGAGUAACGCGUGUGUAACCUGCCCUGUACAGGGGGAUAACAGCUGGAAACGGCUGCUAAUACCGCAUAAGCGCACGAGGAGACAUCUCCUUGUGUGAAAAACUCCGUUGGUACAGGAUGGGACCGCGUCUGAUUAGCUGGUUGGCAGGGUAACGGCCUACCAAGGCAACGAUCAGUAGCCGGUAUGAGAGGCUGAACGGACACAUUGGAACUGAGAAACGGUCCAAACUCCUACGGGAGGCAGCAGUGGGGAAUAGUGCACAAUGGGGGAAACCCUGAUGCAGCAACGCCGCGUGAGUGAAGAAGUAUUUCGGUAUGUAAAGCGCUAUCAGCAGGGAAGAUAAUGACGGUACCUGACUAAGAAGCUCCGGCUAAAUACGUG
This 477-nucleotide ribosomal RNA is filed under the name uncultured bacterium. RNAcentral describes it as "partial 16S ribosomal RNA". It matches the Rfam family "Bacterial small subunit ribosomal RNA", at positions 28 to 507 of the family's 1533-position model. The record is from RNAcentral.